This 164-nucleotide ribosomal RNA is filed under the name Pluchea indica. Its description in RNAcentral is "5.8S ribosomal RNA". It matches the Rfam family "5.8S ribosomal RNA". Rfam says of the family: 5.8S ribosomal RNA (5.8S rRNA) is a component of the large subunit of the eukaryotic ribosome. It is transcribed by RNA polymerase I as part of the 45S precursor that also contains 18S and 28S rRNA. Functionally, it is thought that 5.8S rRNA may be involved in ribosome translocation. Lineage: Eukaryota; Viridiplantae; Streptophyta; Magnoliopsida; Asterales; Asteraceae. RNAcentral also lists the same sequence under 2 other names. The record is from RNAcentral.
AAAAACGACUCUCGGCAACGGAUAUCUCGGCUCACGCAUCGAUGAAGAACGUAGCAAAAUGCGAUACUUGGUGUGAAUUGCAGAAUCCCGUGAACCAUCGAGUUUUUGAACGCAAGUUGCGCCCGAAGCCAUUCGGCCAAGGGCACGUCUGCCUGGGCGUCACG